AUACGUAGGUGACAAGCGUUAUCCGGAUUUACUGGGCGUAAAGGGCGUGUAGGCGGUCUUGCAAGUCAGAAGUGAAAUUCCUGAGCUCAACUCGGGCGCUGCUUCUGAAACUGCAGGACUUGAGUGCUGGAGGGGAUAGCGGAAUUCCUAGUGGAGCGGUAAAAUGCGCAGAUAUUAGGAAGAACACCGGUGGCGAAGGCGGCUAUCUGGACAGUAACUGACGCUGAGGCGCGAAAGCGUGGGGAGCAAACAGGAUUAGAUACCCUGGUAGUCCGUGCCGUAAACGAUGAAUACUAGGUGUAGGGGGUAUCGACUCCCUCCGUGCCGCAGUUAACACAUUAAGUAUUCCACCUGGGGAGUACGGCCGCAAGGUUGAAACUCAAAUGAAUUGACGGGG
Molecule: ribosomal RNA, 397 nt
Filed under: uncultured bacterium
Lineage: Bacteria
Description: partial 16S ribosomal RNA
Rfam family: Bacterial small subunit ribosomal RNA
Source: RNAcentral